CCUACGGGCGGCAGCAGUAGGGAAUAUUGCUCAAUGGGGGAAACCCUGAAGCAGCAACGCCGCGUGGAGGAUGAAGGUUUUAGGAGUGUAAACUCCUGUUGGUAGAGAAGAGGAUGACGGUAUCUAACGAAUAAGCACCGGCUAACGCCGUGCCAGCAGCAGCGGUAAUACGGAGGGUGCAAGCGUUACUCGGAAUCACUGGGCGUAAAGAGUGCGUAGGCGGGGUAAGAAGUCAGAUGUGAAAUCCUGUAGCUUAACUACAGAACUGCAUUUGAAACUGUUACUCUGGAGUGUGGGAGCGGUAGGUGGAAUUCUUGGUGUAGGGGUCAAAUCCGUAGAGAUCAAGAGG
This 349-nucleotide ribosomal RNA is filed under the name uncultured bacterium. RNAcentral's name for it is "partial 16S ribosomal RNA". It matches the Rfam family "Bacterial small subunit ribosomal RNA", at positions 338 to 704 of the family's 1533-position model. The record is from RNAcentral.